RNAcentral lists this ribosomal RNA (501 nucleotides) under uncultured bacterium. RNAcentral's name for it is "partial 16S ribosomal RNA". It matches the Rfam family "Bacterial small subunit ribosomal RNA", at positions 30 to 523 of the family's 1533-position model. The record is from RNAcentral.
AUUGAACGCUGGCGGCAGGCUUAACACAUGCAAGUCGAGCGGGGGAAGGUAGCUUGCUACUGGACCUAGCGGCGGACGGGUGAGUAAUGCUUAGGAAUCUGCCUAUUAGUGGGGGACAACAUCUCGAAAGGGAUGCUAAUACCGCAUACGUCAUACGGGAGCAAGCAGGGGAUCUUCGGACCUUGCGCUAAUAGAUGAGCCUAAGUCGGAUUAGCUAGUUGGUGGGGUAAAGGCCUACCAAGGCGACGAUCUGUAGCGGGUCUGAGAGGAUGAUCCGCCACACUGGGACUGAGACACGGCCCAGACCCCUACGGGAGGCAGCAGUGGGGAAUAUUGGACAAUGGGGGGAACCCUGAUCCAGCCAUGCCGCGUGUGUGAAGAAGGCCUUAUGGUUGUAAAGCACUUUAAGCGAGGAGGAGGCUACUUUAGUUAAUACCUAGAGAUAGUGGACGUUACUCGCAGAAUAAGCACCAGCUAACUCUGUGCCAGCAGCCGCCGUAA